Molecule: ribosomal RNA, 253 nt
Filed under: uncultured bacterium
Lineage: Bacteria
Description: partial 16S ribosomal RNA
Rfam family: Bacterial small subunit ribosomal RNA
Source: RNAcentral
UACGUAGGUGGCGAGCGUUGUCCGGAUUUACUGGGCGUAAAGAGCGCGCAGGCGGCUGGUCAAGUCCGAUGUGAAAGCUCCCGGCUUAACUGGGAAAUUGCAUCGGAAACUGAUCGGCUGGAAGGUGGGAGAGGGUAGCGGGAUUCCCGGUGUAGUGGUGAAAUGCGUAGAUAUCGGGAGGAACACCAGUGGCGAAAGCGGCUACCUGGCCCAUUCUUGACGCUGAGGCGCGAAAGCUAGGGGAGCAAACGGG